AGAGUUUGAUCCUGGCUCAGGACGAACGCUGGCGGCGUUAACACAUGCAAGUCGAGCGGAAAGGCCCUUCGGGGUACUCGAGCGGCGAACGGGUGAGUAACACGUGAGNNACCUGCCCCAGACUUUGGGAUAACCCUCGGAAACGGGGGCUAAUACCGAAUAUGACUUGGUAGCGCAUGCUAUCUGGUGGAAAGUUUUUCGGUUUGGGAUGGACUCGCGGCCUAUCAGCUUGUUGGUGGGGUAAUGGCCUACCAAGGCGACGACGGGUAGCCGGCCUGAGAGGGCGACCGGCCACACUGGGACUGAGACACGGCCCAGACUCCUACGGGAGGCAGCAGUGGGGAAUAUUGCACAAUGGGCGGAAGCCUGAUGCAGCGACGCCGCGUGAGGGAUGACGGCCUUCGGGUUGUAAACCUCUUUCAGCAGGGACGAAGCGCAAGUGACGGUACCUGCAGAAGAAGCGCCGGCCAACUACGUGCCAGCAGCCGCGGUAAGACGUAGGGCGCGAGCGUUGUCCGGAUUUAUUGGGCGUAAAGAGCUCGUAGGCGGCUUGUCGCGUCGACUGUGAAAACUCGGGGCUCAACUCCGAGCUUGCAGUCGAUACGGGCAGGCUAGAGUUCGGUAGGGGAGACUGGAAUUCCUGGUGUAGCGGUGAAAUGCGCAGAUAUCAGGAGGAACACCGAUGGCGAAGGCAGGUCUCUGGGCCGAUACUGACGCUGAGGAGCGAAAGCGUGGGGAGCGAACAGGAUUAGAUACCCUAGUAGUCC
Molecule: ribosomal RNA, 767 nt
Filed under: uncultured bacterium
Lineage: Bacteria
Description: bacterial SSU rRNA
Rfam family: Bacterial small subunit ribosomal RNA
Source: RNAcentral